CAGUCGCCGCGGGAAUACAGAGGGUGCGAGCGUUAAUCGGAAUUACUGGGCGUAAAGCGCACGCAGGCGGUCUGACAAGUCAGAUGUGAAAUCCCCGGGCUUAACCUGGGAACUGCAUUUGAAACUGUCAGGCUGGAGUCUUGUAGAGGGGGGUAGAAUUCCAGGUGUAGCGGUGAAAUGCGUAGAGAUCUGGAGGAAUACCGGUGGCGAAGGCGGCCCCCUGGACAAAGACUGACGCUCAGGUGCGAAAGCGUGGGGAGCAAACAGGAUUAGAUACCCCAGUAGUCCCUGUCUCUUAUAC
RNAcentral lists this ribosomal RNA (301 nucleotides) under uncultured bacterium. RNAcentral's name for it is "partial 16S ribosomal RNA". It matches the Rfam family "Bacterial small subunit ribosomal RNA", at positions 509 to 807 of the family's 1533-position model. The record is from RNAcentral.